CUCGUUUCUGGCCGCCGUGAUCGCUCCUGCAUCGUCUGAAAUCUGUUGCUGCAGCGAUGCACUCUGAAGAGGAAUAGUCAGAAGGGUCCGUGUUGGCCUCCUCCAGGGAGCUCACGUGGUUCAGGUACAAUGCCAGACGGUCAUUGAGGUUCUGCAUGGCCACCUUCUCGUUCCCAGAGAAGAGUCCUGGCUCGUUGUUAAUGAAGCCAACGCUAUUUCCCCGACUCGACCCCUCAUUGCCAAAGCUUCCUCCAGAAGAGAUCCCCGCAAGGGUGCAAGAAAAGCUGCUUUCUGCUCCCGGCCCAACACACACAUUCCCGGCCACAAAGCCUGCCCCUCCCCUGGACAGCCUGACAGACCCAGCUCGAGAACAGACCCUGGAUCCCCCUGAAAAUCGAAAAGACAUGGCGACAGCACAGCACGGCAGCCUUUCCCCAGACAGGCGCAAAGUCGAAGUUUAUCCUCCAUGGGCCGACAGCUCCACUGGCUUUUAUAGGACUCAAUCUUAGCCAUGCCGAUCUGUAAUAAAACGUUAUUCAUAUCCUAA
This is a long non-coding RNA of Rattus rattus (black rat), 547 nucleotides long. RefSeq lists it as uncharacterized. The transcript has 2 exons. NCBI's taxonomy places the organism in Eukaryota, Metazoa, Chordata, Mammalia, Rodentia, Muridae. The record is from RefSeq and is a predicted model, not a curated record.